GACGAACGCUGGCGGCGUGCUUAACACAUGCAAGUCGAACGGAAAGGCCCUGCUUUUGUGGGGUGCUCGAGUGGCGAACGGGUGAGUAACACGUGAGUAACCUGCCCUUGACUUUGGGAUAACUUCAGGAAACUGGGGCUAAUACCGGAUAGGAGCUCCUGCUGCAUGGUGGGGGUUGGAAAGUUUCGGCGGUUGGGGAUGGACUCGCGGCUUAUCAGCUUGUUGGUGGGGUAGUGGCUUACCAAGGCUUUGACGGGUAGCCGGCCUGAGAGGGUGACCGGCCACAUUGGGACUGGGAUACGGCCCAGACUCCUACGGGGGCAGCAGUGGGGAAUAUUGCACAAUGGGCGGAAGCCUGAUGCAGCAACGCCGCGUGCGGGAUGACGGCCUUCGGGUUGUAAACCGCUUUCGCCUGUGACGAAGCGUGAGUGACGGUAAUGGGUAAAGAAGCACCGGCUAACUACGUG
RNAcentral lists this ribosomal RNA (467 nucleotides) under uncultured bacterium. RNAcentral describes it as "partial 16S ribosomal RNA". It matches the Rfam family "Bacterial small subunit ribosomal RNA", at positions 28 to 507 of the family's 1533-position model. The record is from RNAcentral.